UGGGGAAUCUUGCACAAUGGGGGAAACCCUGAUGCAGCGACGCCGCGUGAACGAUGAAGCCCUUCGGGGUGUAAAGUUCUUUCGACAGGAACGAUAAUGAAGGUACCUGGAGAAGAAGCUGCGGCUAACUACGUGCCAGCAGCAGCGGUAAUACGUAGGCAGCGAGCGUUGUUCGGAGUUACUGGGCGUAAAGAGUGCGUAGGCGGCGAGCCAAGUUUGGUGUGAAAUCUCCCGGCUUAACCGGGAGGGUGCGCCGAAAACUGGUUGGCUGGAGUAUGGGAGAGGAAAGCGGAAUUCCUGGUGUAGCGGUGAAAUGCGUAGAUAUCAGGAGGAACACCUGCGGUGUAGACAGCUUUCUGGACCAAAACUGACGCUGAGGCACGAAAGCGUGGGUAGCAAACA
This 402-nucleotide ribosomal RNA is filed under the name uncultured bacterium. RNAcentral's name for it is "bacterial SSU rRNA". It matches the Rfam family "Bacterial small subunit ribosomal RNA", at positions 355 to 774 of the family's 1533-position model. The record is from RNAcentral.